CUUGUGGUGUGUUGGAGUCAGGCACUACAUCCUCCAUGCUGCUGUAGUCACUGCAGUCCUCCAUAAACACACUGCAGCCAUGUUUUCACCGCACAGGGAGGGUUUGGAAGAGAAGUGAAUGUGCAGGAGGCUGCUGAACAACCAGAACCGCACCAGCUGCUUGUUUCUGCAACCGAGCUGCUGCUGUAGAGGAGCAAACACACUGUGUUCUCCAGAGCCAGGACACUGAGCACAGGCUUUUACCAGCCAGGGACCCCUUUAACUUGAUCCUGACCGCUUCUGCUCUCCGGUCCUGCCUGAUCCAUCCUGAUGCCCUACUUCUGGUUGGAGUUCUCAUCACGUGAAAAUCACUCACAGCUGCUGAGGAUGACCCACACGGACAGCCUGAAGUUAUAUGAGAUUUCUGUGGAUGGUCCCACUUAGAAACCAUGAAGAUGGCUUUGGACUUUUGCUAUGAUAGCUUUAGGACUGCUAUUCCCACGAACAGUUAUGCACUCAAGUCUCCAUCAGUGAACAGUUCAUAAGUUCAACAAAACAGACUUCAUGUGAAAACUAGAAUGAAUUUCCUGGUUGCGCAAUUGCACUAUCUGACCAUAUAGUAUACAGUUAUAGAAGGGAUUUAUUUACAUUUGCACUAUCCGUUAUCACCCAGAUGAGGAUGGGUUCCCUUUCGAGUCUGGUUCCUCUCAAGGUUUCUUCCUCAUAUCAUCUCAGGGAGUUUUUCCUCACCACCGUCACCUCUGGCUCGCUCAUUAGGGAUAAAUUCAUACAUUUAAAAUUUAGAUCCUGAUGUAUUUGUUUCUGUAAAGCUUCUUUGUGACAAUGUCCAUUGUUAAAAGAGCUAUAGAAAUAAAGUUUAACUGAAUUAA
Pangasianodon hypophthalmus (striped catfish) is the source of this 869-nucleotide long non-coding RNA. RefSeq lists it as uncharacterized. The record is from RefSeq and is a predicted model, not a curated record. The transcript has 2 exons. NCBI's taxonomy places the organism in Eukaryota, Metazoa, Chordata, Actinopteri, Siluriformes, Pangasiidae.